Molecule: transfer RNA, 71 nt
Filed under: Penaeus chinensis
Lineage: Eukaryota; Metazoa; Arthropoda; Malacostraca; Decapoda; Penaeidae
Description: tRNA-Pro
Rfam family: tRNA
About the family: Transfer RNA (tRNA) molecules are approximately 80 nucleotides in length. Their secondary structure includes four short double-helical elements and three loops (D, anti-codon, and T loops).
Source: RNAcentral
GGCCUGAUGGUCUAGGGGUAUGAUUCUCGCUUAGGGUGCGAGAGGUCCCGGGUUCAAAUCCCGUCAGGCCC